AUGAACGCUGGCGGCGUGCCUAAUACAUGCAAGUCGAGCAAACAGACGAGGAGCUUGCUCCUCUGAUGUUAGCGGCGGACGGGUGAGUAACACGUGGAUAACCUACCUAUAAGACUGGGAUAACUUCGGGAAACCGGAGCUAAUACCGGAUAACAUGUUUAACCGCUUGGUUUAACAGUGAAAGACGGUCUUGCUGUCCCUUAUAGAUGGAUCCGCGCCGCAUUAGCUAGUUGGUAAGGUAACGGCUUACCAAGGCAACGAUGCGUAGCCGACCUGAGAGGGUGAUCGGCCACACUGGAACUGAGACACGGUCCAGACUCCUACGGGAGGCAGCAGUAGGGAAUCUUCCGCAAUGGGCGAAAGCCUGACGGAGCAACGCCGCGUGAGUGAAGAAGGUCUUCGGAUCGUAAAACUCUGUUAUUAGGGAAGAACAAAUGUGUAAGUAACUAUGCACGUCUUGACGGUACCUAAUCAGAAAGCCACGGCUAACUACGUG
This 496-nucleotide ribosomal RNA is filed under the name uncultured bacterium. RNAcentral describes it as "partial 16S ribosomal RNA". It matches the Rfam family "Bacterial small subunit ribosomal RNA", at positions 29 to 507 of the family's 1533-position model. The record is from RNAcentral.